RNAcentral lists this ribosomal RNA (2007 nucleotides) under Triticum aestivum (bread wheat). RNAcentral's name for it is "partial small subunit ribosomal RNA". The record is from RNAcentral. Lineage: Eukaryota; Viridiplantae; Streptophyta; Magnoliopsida; Poales; Poaceae.
AUGAAUCACGAAGAUGGCGCUGAUCCUUGGCUUUCUCAAAGGCCGGAAACGCCACCUUGGGAUGCAGCAGAGUACAAUCAACUCAUUUCUUCAGGGCCAUUGCUGCCACUACUAGAGCACUACGCGGGCAUCGGUUCUUAUGACCAAACCACAAUCAGGGGGGCGGCAUGGCAAGUUUCGUCACAGGGCGGUAACACUGACAAAUGUACGGGCAACCAACUUCAGCUAGCUAAUGUGGCAAAUCAAGGACCUUCAUGCGGCACGUGGCAUCAGGCAGCAACCAUGUACCUGCCAUCAACGUCGUACACAGGUGAGUGCAUGAAAGUGAAGUUGUGGACAGUUGUUACGGUGGAACCACAUCGGCAAAACAUCUCAUGGCAAGCUUCACAGUUGCAGGAAAGCGCUAUUGCAGAUAGAGCAAAUCAAAUUGGAAUGACAGACCACACAAGAUCGGCACAUGCGGCACAACAAGUUCUGAUGCUGAAAGAAGCUGGUUGCCAUGUGUGGGCAACAGUAGUUGCCAUGUGUGUUGGACUAUUUCUUCCAUUGCUAUAUGCUACAAGUUCUCAAGCUAAAAGACGCUGGUUGCCAUGUGUUGGCAAUGGACCUUCAACUACAAUUAACAGCGGCGCGGGGACAUCUACUGCGGGGAGCUCUGAGCGCACGGAAGACGCGUUCCACCAGCCAGCCAACACUCAUGCCACAAACUAUGCCAAGUCAGUGUCGGAAAUGGCAAUCGUGCCAGCAAUACCGACAAGCACACAUGUGCACACCAGCACAAGCAACACUCAAACAGGUGAAACAGCCGCCGAUACUGAAGUGAAUGAUGAAACCGAUGACGAAGCACAAGGGGAUGAAGAUGGUGGGCAAUCAGAAAUCAUGGUACCCCAGCCACCGGGUGAGAUGAGGUGCUACAAGGCACGGAGAAACAAGAAGGGCAAAGGUGAUGCGGCUGUCGUUCCGGAACGAAAGAGAGGUAUCAUUGUCAAGACGGAAUGCCUUGUCCGGUGUAAGCUGAACGUAGAUGGAGCACAGUGGGUGGUCACUGAAUAUUUUGACGAGCACAACCACGAGCUAAUAAAGAAGUUUGACCUGGUAAAAUUUCUGACCGCACACAGAGGAUUUACCCCCCUCGAGAAGAAAUUCAUAAAGCUGCUACAUGAUUGUAAUGUCGGUCCAUCAAGAAUGGUGCAGAUACUCUCCCCCACCCAUAGCAAAAACGGGUCUCUGAGUAGCAUGCCCUACCUACCAGCAGACGUCACAAAUCUAAAGGCAAAAUUCCAGGAAGAAAUAAAGUGUGCCAGCAUGUACACGGCUUUCCAGGUGGAUGAACAUACGUUCAAGGUGUGUUCUAUCAUGGGCAUGUCGGAUUCAGAACCUGAAGACCCAGACAAGGGAAGGAACUACUUUGUGAAGGCAUCGAUAAGCGAAGGCAAAUACUACUGCCAAUGCUGCAAAUUCGAACGGGACGGGAUUGUGUGCUGUCACAUUCUAAAAGUAAUGGACUUGAACGCAGUGACACGAAUGCCCCGCCAUUUCAUAAGGCGGCGAUGGACUUGGGACGAUGACGACGCAUUGGCGCCGCAAACAUCACACGCAGUUUUAGCCGUGCAUGAAGAGAGACCAGAGUCAACCAUGGAAGCCGUGAGGCACAUUGUGUUGACAAAAAACUAUGCUGAACUAAUUGAUGAAGCGUGCAAGAGUGAUGAGACAGCAAGGGUCGCAGAAAAACACAGGAAGGCCCUCAAAAGAGAGCUUGAUGAGAUGAAGAAGAGGAAAGCUGAGGAAGCCUUACACAGGUUCCCCCGCACAUCAAGUGUGCCUUCGUCCACAGGGCCAUCAUCUGAAAACUCGGAGGUAGGAUCUGGAACAGCAAGCACACAAACACAGGUUAGGAACCCGCCCCGUUCCAUCACAAAAGGGCGUCCAAAAGAGAUAAGAUACAAAUCGGGAUUGGAGAUUCAAGCAAAACACAAGAAACCAAAGAAAGGGUCAGGCAAUCCGUAA